This 457-nucleotide ribosomal RNA is filed under the name Leptosphaeria doliolum. Its description in RNAcentral is "LSU rRNA". It matches the Rfam family "Eukaryotic large subunit ribosomal RNA", at positions 72 to 534 of the family's 3401-position model. The record is from RNAcentral. Lineage: Eukaryota; Fungi; Ascomycota; Dothideomycetes; Pleosporales; Leptosphaeriaceae.
GGAUUGCCCUAGUAACGGCGAGUGAAGCGGCAACAGCACAAAUUUGAAAUCUGGCUCUUUUAGNGUCCGAGUUGUAAUUUGCAGAGGGCGCUUUGGCGUUGGCAGCGGUCCAAGUUCCUUGGAACAGGACGUCACAGAGGGUGAGAAUCCCGUACGUGGUCGCUGGCCUUCGCCGUGUAAAGCCUCUUCGACGAGUCGAGUUGUUUGGGAAUGCAGCUCUAAAUGGGAGGUAAAUUUCUUCUAAAGCUAAAUACUGGCCAGAGACCGAUAGCGCACAAGUAGAGUGAUCGAAAGAUGAAAAGCACUUUGGAAAGAGAGUCAAAUAGCACGUGAAAUUGUUAAAAGGGAAGCGCUUGCAGCCAGACUUGCCCGUAGUUGCUCAUCCAGGCUUUUGCCUGUGCACUCUUCUAUGGGCAGGCCAGCAUCAGUUUGGGCGGUUGGAUAAAGGUCUCUGUCA